AGCAACUCACUGGGACUCCUGACCAACAGUGUUCAAGAAUUAAGAACAACAAAAAUCACAAACAUAAGCCACAUUCCUUGAAUUGGGCUAUACUGAUUCCUUGAAUUGAACCAUAUGAAUGAAAAACAAAAGCAACCCUUGGUUGGAGGUGUACUUGGCAACUUGUCCUUGUUUGGAGUCCACUUGUACUCAGCCAGCUAAGUGAUUUCAGGCAAGUUACUUAACUUCUCUGGGCCUCACUUUCUUUGUACCCCUCCAUUGUUGUUAGCAUCCUUUUUAUAGAGGAUGUCAAGCACUUGCACAUUUCUUGCACAUAGUAGAUAAGGUUCUUACUAAAUUAUAGGUAUUAUAAUAAUCACAGAUGACCCUGUUACUUAUACUUUCAAGUAUUACCUCAUUUUACCUAAUGUUACCUAGUAUUACCUAGUUUCACGUAUUUUUGUUCAAAUCUAAUCUCCUUUACUUUACUAGAAGGUGGGAUCCACAUAUGCACAGACCUGCACAUAAUGGGUACAUAAUUGGUUGAAUUCUGUAUAAGUACAGUUUCUACCCAAGCACUUCUGUUGAGUCUGAUUGACUGGCUACUUGGCUGGCCCCUUUGUCCAAUUCUCCUAUUCCCUUCCUUCCCCUUCCCCCAUAAGAAGAAUAAGGCUUGGUUCCUAAAUUAUUUCAAAUAAGAUAAGCCCUUGUGGAAACUGCUUCAGUCAGUUUUUACAGGCCAAUAGAUCCCACAGCAUGUAUAUGAUUUACCGUUCAUAUUAAAUUGAAAAGCUCCCUUGUGUAAUUCUUUGGAACUACUGAUGAAAAUGAAAGGCAUUCACCAGAACUGUUGUAAAGAUUUAAUGACACUUGCAUUCAAGCUGCUGAAAGUAAAUAAUUAUGAUGCUGUGUGGCUAUUCUUCUGCUGAGUUUAGACAGUUUAAAACAACUUGUCCUGUGUUAGCUUGACAUUAAUUCAAGGUGUGUGAACAAUCUCCAUCAGAACUGUGAGCAACGUAUGAUGGAAACUUAGACAUUUUUUUAUAGAUUUAUGAAGCAUAACAAGAAUUUGGAGGAGGGGACCCUCAGGACAGUGACAGGGGAUUGUGAGAAGGACUUCCUGGAAGGCUCACCUGUCCAGAUCACCCUAUGAGAGGGAGAGGUGCCCAGGAGAAAGCACCACCAACAGUCACAGCAAGCCCAACUCUGGAUGGUUUGUGUGUCACUGCACCAAGGCACGUCACUCGUCUUCCAAGCCAGAUCUUUGUCCUGCCCCCACUUGCUAUCAAGAAGGAAAAGAAAAGUGAAAAAUAAAGACUGAGUGUGAA
This is a long non-coding RNA of Acinonyx jubatus (cheetah), 1307 nucleotides long. RefSeq lists it as uncharacterized. The transcript has 2 exons. Lineage: Eukaryota; Metazoa; Chordata; Mammalia; Carnivora; Felidae. The record is from RefSeq and is a predicted model, not a curated record.